RNAcentral lists this transfer RNA (69 nucleotides) under Myotis albescens. RNAcentral describes it as "tRNA-Ile". The record is from RNAcentral. Lineage: Eukaryota; Metazoa; Chordata; Mammalia; Chiroptera; Vespertilionidae.
AGAAAUAUGUCUGAUAAUAGAGUUACUUUGAUAGAGUAAAUCAUAGAGGUCUAAACCCUCUUAUUUCUA